UACCUACGGGGGGCAGCAGUGGGGAAUAUUGCACAAUGGGGGAAACCCUGAUGCAGCAACGCCGCGUGAGUGAGGAAGUAUUUCGGUAUGUAAAGCUCUAUCAGCAGGGAAUAGAAAAGAAGGUACCUGAAAAAGAAGCCCCGGCUAACUACGUGCCAGCAGCCGCGGCAAUACGUAGGGGGCAAGCGUUAUCCGGAUUUACUGGGUGUAAAGGGAGCGUAGACGGCCAGACAAGUCAGAAGUGAAAGCCCAGGGCUCAACCCUGGGACUGCUUUUGAAACUGCCGGGCUGGAGUGCAGGAGAGG
This 305-nucleotide ribosomal RNA is filed under the name uncultured bacterium. RNAcentral's name for it is "bacterial SSU rRNA". It matches the Rfam family "Bacterial small subunit ribosomal RNA", at positions 335 to 657 of the family's 1533-position model. The record is from RNAcentral.